AUACAUGUUGAAGACACUGAAGACUGCUUGCUUGGAUGUUGACCAUCUUUAUUUGAUGCCUUUGAUCUUCAUAUUGAUUGCUUGGAUGGUUAUUCUUAUUGCUUCCUUAAAAUUCCAAAGGAAAUGGGUUUCUAUCUGACAUUCUUGUCUUGUGGAUUGCAUCUCAUUGGUCAGAUCUCUUCAACUCCAAACUUUUAACUUUUGUCUAGGGUAGUCCAUUCAUCUUCUCCCACUUCUUUAAUUUCA
Molecule: long non-coding RNA, 246 nt
Filed under: Lathyrus oleraceus (garden pea)
Lineage: Eukaryota; Viridiplantae; Streptophyta; Magnoliopsida; Fabales; Fabaceae
Description: Pisum sativum (pea) long non-coding RNA (PSAT_LNC008484)
Source: RNAcentral